This is a long non-coding RNA of Macaca mulatta (Rhesus monkey), 2454 nucleotides long. NCBI's taxonomy places the organism in Eukaryota, Metazoa, Chordata, Mammalia, Primates, Cercopithecidae. The record is from Ensembl.
AUGGUCUGGGCGGACAGCGUUCUCAGCCUGGGGUCAGGGCUGGGCUCAGAAGGGUCUGGGCGGACAGCGUUCUCAGCCUGGGGUCAGGGCUGGGCUCAGAAGGGUCUGGGCGGACAGCGUUCUCAGCCUGGGGUCAGGGCUGGGCUCAGAAGGGUCUGGGCGGACAGCGUUCUCAGCCUGGGGUCAGGGCUGGGCUCAGACGACCAGCAGAGGCUUUGCCCUGCCAUGCCAGGAGCCACAUCUCAUGACCAGGUCCUGGUCUCCCACACUGGCCAGACGCCUCCAUCCGAGACGUCCUGGUCCCUCCGACUGCACAGUGUGACAACCACCACCCAGCCGUGCCGGGUAAGAUGCCCAAUUAAAUUUGAAUUUCAGAUAAACAAUUUUAGCAUAAGUAUGUCCCCAACAUUGGUAAAAAUGACUAUUUGUUGUUUAUCUGAGAUUCAGAAUAAACUGGGCAUCUUGGACUUUUUAUUUGCUCAACCUAGAAACUCAUGAGUGCCUAAGGAGGUCAAGGCAAAUUCCCGACCACCCCAAAUCUGUGUCUGACCCAGGGGCAGUCACAAUGGGGUGCAGUGGUUGUACCUGGUGACUCAGGCCGCUUGUCUACCAUCUCAUGUCGCCCCCUGCCCCUAGCACCAUGGUGUCAUGCCCUACCCGCCAGUGGGCCCAGAAAGCAGCGCUUUUGCCCAGGGCCAUGGUCUUCUAGGCACAGGGUUCAGCCCAAGAAGGGCAGCCCUGGUUCCCAAGCCUCCUGCAGCACUGACUCUCCACUGCAGCUGGCCUGGGGUCUGCAGCUGGCCUUCUGCUUCUGGCCCUGGCUGGCCCUGGCUCACCUCUCCAGAAGGUCUCUGGAAGCUUCUUCCCCACAGGGUCCUCCCUUCUACCGUAAUCUUCCCGGGUUCUGGGAAACAAACUUGAGAGGCCCAGGCGCACCCCACCUCUUCUCUCUGGGUAUCCACAGCUUCUCCUCUGCCUCCUCCCCAAGGGGAUCACUCCGGCCUUUCCCCUCUCCAGUGACCCUCUCUACACCCACCCGGCUUCCCCCUUCCUCUGAGCACCCCAGAUCCCAAAGGACGAGGUGAGGGAGGCUUUGGAGAAAUGUUGCCUGACGUCACGGGUCCUCCACUCUCGGGGGAACCACGCGGCCUGCCCGGCAGUCAGCCCCCUCCCCGCAGGCAGCUCCCUCCCCAUAGUCAGCUCGCUCCCCGCAGGCAGCCGCCUCCCGCACGCACCCCUCCCCGCACGCAGCCCCCUCUCCGCACGCAGCCCCUCCCCGCACGCAGCCCCUCCCCGCACGCAGCCCCUCCCCGCACGCAGCCCCUCCCCGCACGCAGCCCCUCCCCGCAGGCAGCCCCUCCCCGCAGGCAGCCCCCUCCCCGCAGGCAGCCCCUCUCCGCCUCGCCUCACAGCUGCGGGGGUCUGGGCUGGGAAGUGUUGGAGGCAUCUCAGGUUGAAGGCCGGGCAGCGGGCGCUUCUCCCCCAGCCUCCUGGGGCCCGGGCAUCACUGGAAGCGGCGUUUGUCCCCACUUUGUAUCAGUCGCAAAGAAAGAGCACCCAAUUGGACGAAAGGCUGCGUUCCUGGCCCAGAGUGGGUGAGAGUGAGCCCCUGCCCUGUGGGGGAGGCUGAGGCCGGGGGUUGUGAGGAGUCCCAUGCGGGGAGGAGGCUGCAGGAGCACCUCCGUGCGCCUCUUGAUACCACGCAUGCUUAGCAAGCCCUGGGGACUGUUCUCCCGGGCGGGGACUUCCGCCUUGUAAUGACAUGUCACUGACUUAAAGGGAACUGGGGUCACCAGCUCUGGUUUGUGCCCAUCUGGUGCGUUCUUAUCUCCCUGGUAUUUGGCAGGGGAUCCCAAGCCUCUCCUGGCAUGCCGAGACAUCUGGAGCUCAUUAAGCCUUGGAGCCUGUAGAUAAAGAGAUUAAAGGAAAAAAGAAAAGAAAUCCCGCCCUGGGAGAGUUGGGGCAGGAUUAGCCCGGAGGCCACGCCUCUGCGGGGUCUCCCAUAGGCUGGGCCAGCCUCUGCCCUCCCUGCUUCCAGAACCCUGAAGGCUGAUGGCCUGUGGCGGCCAGUCUCCACCCACCCCAGAGCCCAGCCUAGCAGUAGAAGGCCGCCCACCCCGUUCGAACGUCCCUCUUCCUCCAGGGUCAGCCCGCACGCCACUCUCACGGAGGCCAGGAAGGUGGUGGGACGGGGAGUUUAUCCUCUGCCUGAGGGGGCGUCUGGGGUGCCAUUGAGCCUUUCACCUUUUGAGAGGAGUCAGGGUCAUGCAGCGUCUCCAGCAAGUGGUGGCAGCAACUGAUGGGGCAUCCUAAUCACAAAAUAGGAAGAGAGUUUACAAAAUAGGAGCGUUUACCAAGAGCCUCUCCCUCCCUCCCUCCGUCCCUCUCUCUCUCUCUGUCUCUCAAGUAGAAGUGGGGUCUCUCUGUGUUACCCAGGCUGCUCUCGAACUCCGG